This 73-nucleotide transfer RNA is filed under the name Planoprotostelium fungivorum. It matches the Rfam family "tRNA". From Rfam's summary of the family: Transfer RNA (tRNA) molecules are approximately 80 nucleotides in length. Their secondary structure includes four short double-helical elements and three loops (D, anti-codon, and T loops). Lineage: Eukaryota; Evosea; Variosea; Cavosteliida; Cavosteliaceae. The record is from Rfam by way of RNAcentral.
GCGGGUAUAGUUCAGUUGGUCAAAACACUAGUUUGUGGCACUAGAGCCGUAAGUUCAAAUCUUGCUACCCGCC